Molecule: RNA transcript, 6838 nt
Organism: Balaenoptera ricei (Rice's whale)
Lineage: Eukaryota; Metazoa; Chordata; Mammalia; Artiodactyla; Balaenopteridae
Gene: P2RY2
Gene name: purinergic receptor P2Y2
Exons: 4
Source: RefSeq, a predicted model, not a curated record
GGUGAUGGCUGUGCCUGGGUCUGUCCAGAGUCCGUCCCGCCCCCGGCCUGACCCGGCAGGGUAGGAAGCCGGGCGGGGCUGGCGGGGCUCUCAGGCACGUGGGUCUCCGCCGCGGCGACUGGACGCCGGCGCUGGCAACCGGGAGUCGCGGCCGGGGCACUGCGGGCUGACGAGCGCCCUGCGAGGUGAGGGCGGGCCGCCUGCAGGGCCCGGAGACGAGGAGACGGCGGCGGGCGGGCCCGGCUACGCGGCCGGUGGCGACUCAGCCGGCGCCGGGCAGGCAGAGCGGAGCGCGCGGGGCUGGCCGAGGAGUCGCGGUUCCCAGCCGGUGUGAGCGCUCCGGCAGGUCCGUGGUCGAGCUGGGUCUCCACCGGAGCUUCGAACUUGUGGAAUGUGGACGAAUACCCGCACGGAUACCCGGGUGAAUGUGCACGGAUACCCGGGUGAAUGUGCGUCCGCGUAUUUGGGAAAGUCUGUGUGUCACUGGACCAAGAUUGCAGCAGAAGAGGCAGCCCGGGGAAGGCUCGGCCUGGCUGACUUCCUGUGACCCAGAGCCCAAGCUGUCUCCACCUCCCUGUCUCAGGAGCCCAGGCACUGCCUGCCCUGAGAAAUGCUGGAAGCUGGGCGAGGCUCCAGGCCAGGGGACCUGUUUUUCCUGUUUCCCACAGAGUUCCCUGCAGCUCGGUCCAGGGGUCCAGGCGGGUGCAUUCAUGAGUGAGGAACCUGAGCCUGCGCUGAGCAUCCUGACAGUGAGAGCAGGGGCUAGUCAGGGCGAUGGCCACAGGCCCAGGCCUCUGGAAUGGCACCAUCAAUGGCACCUGGGAUGGGGAUGAGCUGGGCUACAAGUGCCGCUUCAAUGAGAACUUCAAGUACGUGCUACUGCCUGUGUCCUACGGCGUGGUGUGCGUGCUCGGGCUGUGUCUGAACGCCGUGGCUCUCUACAUCUUCCUGUGCCGCCUCAAGACCUGGAACGCCUCCACCACAUACAUGUUUCACUUGGCCAUGUCGGAUGCGCUGUACGCGGCCUCCCUGCCCCUGCUGGUCUAUUACUACGCCCGUGGUGACCACUGGCCCUUCAGCACAGUGCUCUGCAAGCUGGUGCGCUUCCUCUUCUACACCAACCUUUACUGCAGCAUCCUCUUCCUCACGUGCAUCAGUGUGCACCGAUGCCUGGGUGUCUUGCGUCCACUGCGCUCACUGCGCUGGGGCCGGGCCCGCUAUGCCCGCAGGGUGGCCGUCGCCGUGUGGGUGCUGGUGCUGGCCUGCCAGGCACCCGUGCUUUACUUCGUCACCACCAGUGCACGUGGUGGCCGCAUUACCUGCCACGACACCUCGGCACCCGAGCUCUUCAGCCACUUCGUGGCCUACAGCUCCGUCAUGCUGAGCCUGCUCUUCACGGUGCCCUUCGCCAUCAUCCUGGUCUGUUAUGUGCUCAUGGCUCGGCGGCUGCUAAAGCCGACCUACGGGACCACGGGAGGCCUGCCGCGGGCCAAGCGCAAGUCGGUGCGCACCAUUGCCGUGGUGCUAGCUGUCUUUGCCCUCUGCUUCCUGCCUUUCCACGUCACCCGCACCCUCUACUACUCCUUCCGCUCGCUGGACCUCAGCUGCCACACCCUCAAUGCCAUCAACAUGGCUUACAAGGUCACCCGGCCGCUGGCCAGCGCCAACAGUUGCCUUGACCCUGUGCUCUACUUCCUGGCUGGGCAGAGGCUCGUGCGCUUUGCUCGGGAUGCCAAGGCACCCACAGACCCCACCCCUACCACCCAGCCUCGCCGCAGGCUGGGCCUGCACAGGUUCAACAGAACUGAUACUAAGAGGACAGAAGACUCGGCCAACAGUGAGAACUCUAGACAGACAGAGUCCACACCGUCUGGUGGUGAAAACACUAAGGACAUCCGGCUGUAGGACCUGAACCCCUUGGGCCUGUGCCAUUUUGUGUUGGGUGGGACUGUAGACUUGUUCAAAUGGGACAGUCUCCCCAGAUAUGGACCAUCAGUGAAUCAGGCCGGAUGGUCAAGGGGACCGUGACCCCAGUGCUCUGUCAUUUGACAGGGGCGCAGUUUGUUCUCUGUGGUCCAGAGAGCUCAGCAGUCCCCACAUCCCCAGUCACCAUUUGUAUGUGAGAUUUGGUGAGUAAGGUUUUAAGAAAGGCAAGGGUUUGGGGCCAGUGAUGCCCCUGGCCUGAAUCCCACAUAAAUACCUGGCUGUACCUGCCAAGGUACCUAGGCUGGGCUCCAGACUAAUCAAGUCAAGUAGAGAAACAGGCCCAGAGAGGAAAGUGACCUAACCAAGGUCACACAGCCAAGCGUGCGCCUGAGCUACCUGGGAGGGACAGGGUCGCAAGUUGACCAGAGGACCCUCGUAAGGAGUCAGGGCUGAGCCAGAGGUUCCCACGAUGAGUCGGAGUGGUCUGAGUGCCACCGUGGGCUCAGCUCUGAGGAGGACACCCAGCCCAAGGGAUGAACGUCUGGGAACUGAUGUCAUAAACCCAUCUGGAGGCUGGGAGCCAGUUUGAGGCUGGGACUUGUACUAAAGGCCCGAGCCUAUCUCUUGCCUACCAGCUGCUGCUCAGGCUGAACCCAAUCCCAGUUUAUAAGGCACCUCUACCCAGGUGAGAUACUCUACUGGCCAGGAGUGUUAAUGCUGAGCUCUGACCCCCUCAGCCCUGCUCAGACUCAGAGGCAGGGAGUUUUAUACAUUGUGACUUUGGGGGCUCUUGAGUGUCUACCUGUGGUUGGGGAUGGGGCUGUGUCCACCACAGGCCCAAGUUCCCCUAUAGUCCCCAUUCCUUUCAUGUCCUGCCCAGUUACCCCUCCAGCAGCUGUCCUGGAGACCCCAAGAACUGAGGGCGCCACAGCACACAGAGACCACACUAUGGCCUAGCUCCAGGACACCUUCCUUAAACCAACUGCCUACAGAUUUCUAAGGACACAGGACCUAGGGGACAGGAGGGCCUGACUCACCAUCUAAUCGUGUGGCAGGCACUGGUGGGGGUGGGGAAUGAAGACCCUAAGGGAACCAGGGACAGGCCCAGGGCCCCUCCUGAGGACCCUAGUCAAACUGUCUGGCCCUUUGGUGUGGACAUCUGGCCUUGUUCUCAGUGCCCAGGCCCCCCGCCUGGUGGGUGAGGUUCCUGACCCUGUUGCCUUAUACUAUUUUCAGCCCAAGUAAGAACAGGAUUUUCCACUCCCAGCCCCAGACCAUUGUCCAGCAGUGACGUGGAGGGACCUGCCUGCUCUCAAAAUAUCUCCUCUUACUCUCCAGGCCUUGCUGCCCUUUCCCCACCUCCUCACCCUGACAUCACUUCCUGGGGCUGUUGACUCCUGAAGGACGCUGUGAAAGGUCACAGGACCUGACAGGGACCCCAGGGAUUAUCCAGCCCAGCUGCAGACUCCAGGCCAGAGAGGGGCAGGGCCUUGUCCAUGGUCACUCAGCAGGUCAGCGUGGCGCCUGGUCGUGCGCCAGGGGCUCGGGCUGCCCCUGCGGCUCUGCUCCAUUUAGUGCAGGUCAGUGCCUUUGUGGGAAUCCUGCAAUCACCCCACCACCCCAGCUCUUCCCACCUCUGAUGGAGCUGGGGAGCUGAGGCCAGGGACCUGGGGCUGAGGGGGGCGGGGAGAGCAGCUGGGAGGAGUAAAUGCCUGCUGACUGGCCUACAGCAGCUCUUCUCAGUGAGCUCCAUGCAACAGGGGCAGGGGCCCUGGCACAUAGGGGUCUCUGCCCCGGGUGGCAUUUGUCCCAGGGCCCAGGAGGGACACUCUCACCCUCCAAAGGCUAGGAAAGGCCCUGGCCAACGUGCCCUCCAGACACAGUUACUCCUAUCUUGGUCCAGGUCAGGCCACCAAAGCUACCCCUCUGCCACCACCCUUGUCAAGGCAGAUUUGGGCUGAUCUGUUUAGAGCCAGGCCCCUGAGGAAGGGAGCUAAGGUACUGACCCAUGUCCCAGGCACCAGGCAGGGCCCUCUCACAUCCAUUAUUAUUUAUUCUUUACCACCACCAUGUGAAAUAGACAUUAUUACCCCCAUUUAGCAGAUGAGAGGACAGGCUCUGAGAGGUGAGGACUUGCUCCAGGUCAUACAGGCAGUAAAUGGGUGAGUCAAGAUUAAGUUCAGGUCCAUCUGAUGCCCAGAUUAGUUCCCUUUCCAGUAUCCCAUGCCACUUGCAACCCCUGCGGGGCAGGAGAGUUUGUAAGCGACCCUUUGUGUGAUUCAAGAUGAGAGAGGCAGUCUAGUGAGGAUGGAGUUAAGAGCACCAGUUCUCUGCCGAGACCACCUGCGUUUGAGGGUUGUCUCCACUUCUUCCAGCUGUGGCAUCUUGGGCAAAUCAAUCUUGCAGCACCUCCAUUUUCUCAUUUCUAGAAGGAGAUACUACCUCCCAUGUAGGGCAUUGGGAGGCUUACCUGAAUGAAUACACAUGAAGCACUUAGAACAGGGCCUGGCACAUGAUAAGCAUUUACACGCCAGGCACUGUGCCAAGGGGAUACAGAGGCGAGCCAGCUGGACCCUGCCCUCAGGGAGUUGACAUAACUUAAUAAGUAACCACAUUGGGAUAAGUGAUUUGAAGGAAAGGACAGUGUGUCCGGCCAGUGAGCAAUAGAGUGUCCCCUGUGGCUGAGGCUUCCCCAGGGUGUGGGAGGAAAGAGCAGGUCCAUCCUGGGGUGAGGUGUGGGACCACCCUCUGCCCUGCUUGGCACUGGGUGGCUCUCAGGCCCUUGAGCUUGUGUGUGUUUACAGAACCUUGUCCAGGUGAUGGGCUGUGGAAGGGCAGUAAGGGGAAGUGAUGGCAGGAGGAGGAAGAGGAGGAUGCCUCUGAUCUUCCAGAGCCCGCCCCUAUGGGCUCGAGGGCUCCCACCCACCCAUGGCAGCAGGCUUAGCCAUUUCUCCCUGACUGGUGGUGCCCACCACAGGGUGCUGCAGCCUCUCCUUGGUUUAUCCAAGAGUCAGAGACCCAGGGCUGGAGGACUGGCCUGGAGCUGGGCCAGAGCAGGCAAUGGAUGGACAGUUUUUGCUGUGUGACCUGAGGCCAACUGCUUGCCCUCUCUGGGUCACUCUAUAGAACCUGGAGACCUUGCUUCCCACAUUCCAGUUCUCCCUACCUUAGGGCAGCAGCCACCCAGAUUUUUCAUCAAAGACACAACUAACAGCUACUCCCCCAGGCACUCCCAAGACCCCAUGAGUCCUCAGUUCUGAGGACUAGAGUAGGGCAGUGGGUCUCCCCUAGUAUCAAGUGACCAGAAAGGUGAAGUGACUCCAUUGGCACCACACAUUGCCUUGGAGUGGAGCCAGUUGAAUGUCUGAUGCUUCUGCCUCCUGUGGGGUAGAGGCUGGAACUUGGCCAGGAGUCACUGCGCUGCAGGAUGAAGGAUGCAUUUACCUUCCCCAGGGGUAUGUGCUUGAGGUGGGGGGUGAAGGGUGGGGGAAAUGAGCCCCAGAAGCCAAACUCAUCCUCCUCUGUCCUGAUGCACCAUGUGACAUGGUGAAUACUUUUUUCUCUCUGGGCCUCAGUUUCCCCAUAUGCAACAGGCCUUGGCUCUGCCCAGCCACUCCAGCCUCUUCGGUAGGGCUUGCCUCUGUCUCGGCUCCAGCUCAGCCCUGUCCCAGCCAAGAACAAUGGGCCAGACCGAGUCAGCCCCCAGGGGCUCACCUGAGACUAUUUUCAGCCUUUGGAGAUGAAGUCAGAAAAGGAUCUUCCACUCCCAGCACAAUGGCUGCCCUGCACCAUUGUCCAGCAGGGCAUCCGCCUGCCCCAAAGUAUCUCCCCUGCUUCUACCCUCUGGGCCUCCCUGCCCUGCUCCUCACCUCCCAAACUUGACAUCACUUCCUGGGCCUGUUACUCCUAAAAGCCACUGUGAAACAGCAUGUGAGCCCCCUGGGAGACCUGACCAAUUGGAAACAGUUUUCCCUCUUGGCAGGGACCCCAGGGAUUAUUUGGCUGCAUUGAGAGACUGGAGACCAGAGAGGGCUGUGCCUCACCCAAAGUCAUGCAGCGGUCAGCAUAGAGACUAAAUGUGAGGCCAGGGCUCUGUGGCUUCUUCCGUUUCCUCCAUCAGCACUGGUCUCUACCUCCUGGGAGUGACAGCUCAUCUUGCAAGGCCUGGGGUGGACAUCCUGAGGAGAAGCCUGAGUGAUGUGGGUGAGAGGGGGUGUACCUUGGGUUCUGACCUUGGAGCUCCCGAUUGAGUUCUGUUUGUACCAACUGUGGCUUUAGUGUGUGCUGAACUCAGAGUUACCAAGUAGCAGCUUCAGGGAAAGGAGGAGGUCGGGGGACACAGGGAAGCUGAGGCAGGAAGAUCAGGGUUCUGGCCCAGUUUAGCCACCACUAGCUCUGUGACUGCAAACUCAGUUUCUUCAUCUGUAAAAUGGAACUGAUAGUACCUCCUUUUCCAGUUUACUGAACAGUGAGCAUGCAGUAAGGCACAAACGUGCAACUGUUUUAUUUUUCUCCCAUCGACUCUCUCUGCUUGAUGAUGUCUAAUUUCCCUUUUCCAUCCAUAACUGCAUAUUUGGUAAACUCCAAAACUUUGAGUCACUUUUGGAUAACAACUAAAGUUCAGUCCAGUUUAAAAUUCCAAUCGCCUACUUAAUUUACUGCUCCCUCCUCCUCUUCCCCUGUGCUGGGAGGACCCUGCUCCCUCUCCUUUGCGUGCCCCUCUCCUCUGGAUGUGGGGCAAGGUGAGGAGGAAAGGGACCAGUGGAUCAUCCCCGGGACUGCCACAGCCCCCUCUUGCUGUCCUUGCUUCUCUGAUCCUGACAACCUGACAUCAGUGCCCCUCUGCAUGGAGUCUCCCAAACACCAGACCACACUUUUGUAAGAGUCUCUUCAUUAAACAAUCCCAAAGUCA